Molecule: ribosomal RNA, 513 nt
Filed under: uncultured bacterium
Lineage: Bacteria
Description: partial 16S ribosomal RNA
Rfam family: Bacterial small subunit ribosomal RNA
Source: RNAcentral
GAUGAACGCUGGCGGCGUGCCUAAUACAUGCAAGUCGAACGCACAGCGAAAGGUGCUUGCACCUUUCAAGUGAGUGGCGAACGGGUGAGUAACACGUGGACAACCUGCCUCAAGGCUGGGGAUAACAUUUGGAAACAGAUGCUAAUACCGAAUAAAACUCAGUGUCGCAUGACACAAAGUUAAAAGGCGCUUUGGCGUCACCUAGAGAUGGAUCCGCGGUGCAUUAGUUAGUUGGUGGGGUAAAGGCCUACCAAGACAAUGAUGCAUAGCCGAGUUGAGAGACUGAUCGGCCACAUUGGGACUGAGACACGGCCCAAACUCCUACGGGAGGCUGCAGUAGGGAAUCUUCCACAAUGGGCGAAAGCCUAAUGGAGCAACGCCGCGUGUGUGAUGAAGGCUUUCGGGUCGUAAAGCACUGUUGUAUGGGAAGAACAGCUAGAAUAGGGAAUGAUUUUAGUUUGACGGUACCAUAUCAGAAAGGGACGGCUAAAUACGUGCCAGCCGCCGCCGUAA